UGAGGCAGACAACAUAUGUAGAAC
RNAcentral lists this microRNA (24 nucleotides) under Zea mays. Its description in RNAcentral is "microRNA miR-3038". Lineage: Eukaryota; Viridiplantae; Streptophyta; Magnoliopsida; Poales; Poaceae. The record is from RNAcentral.